CCAAAUAAGACUGACAGAAUAGCUCUAGGUGUUGAGAAUUGUUGUGGAAAUGAAAAAGUUGUAUGUAAUGGAAACUUUUUUUUUUCCUCCAACAGAAAAAUGAAAAUUGGGGCUGGAGAAAAUUUGCCCAAAGAAGGCAGUACAAUGGAAAACCUUCAACACCUGAACAAGAAGAGGCUAGUCCUAAGCAAGGUUGGAAGACUUAAUGAUCCUGCAUGACUGAAUUGCUAGCUUGGCCUGACAAAAGGAACACAUGGACUUUGAAAAUUUUGAUAAUUAGGGAAACAAAAAUUAACCCACGAAUCAUGGCACAGCGUCAUAGAAGAGUCCUUCAAGAUCUUGUUUUCUUGUUGGCUUGUCCCUUUAGGGGUCACCACAGCGCGUCAUCCUUUUCCAUGUAAACCUAUCUCCUGCAUCUUCCUCUCUAACACCAACUGCCCAUAUGUCAUAUGUCAACAUCCAUCAACCUUCUGUUUGGUCUUCCUCUCGCUCUUUUCCCUGGCAGCUCCAUCCUCAGCACCCUACUUCCAAUAUAUUCACUCUCUCGCCUCUGCACACGUCCAAACUAUCGAAGUCCCAAAACUUUUCUCCAAAAGAUCCAACUUUGGUUGUUCCUCUCAUGAGCUCAUUUCUAAUCCUAUCCAACCUGCUCACUCCUAACGAGAAUCUCGACAUUUUCAUUUCUGCCAUCUCCAGCUCUACUUCCUGUUGUCUCUUCAGUGCCACAGUGUCAGUGCCCAGAGGAAACCCAUGCAGGCACAGGGAGAACAUGCAAACUCCACACAAGUGGGUCUGGGAUUGAACCCGGGACCUCAGAACUGUGAGCUCCACAGUUUUUCCAGCUGAUCCAUCGUGUCACCCUAAUUAGACAUAUAUAAUAUAUAUAGAGAGAACAAUAACUUAGUCUGCACAGACCAACAUGUUCCUGUCUUCACAAGGAUCUUCAACAGGUCUCUAGAACUGGGUGAAGUACUAACGUGCGUCAAAUGAUCCAUCAUCAUACCAGUCCUCAAAAAAGCAGGUCUUUAUGACUACAGGUCUGUUACCUUGAAAUCUGUAGUAAUAAAGUCCUUUGAACGUCUUGUGCUGUACCACCUCAAGAGCGUCACAGAUCCCCAGCUGGACCCACUUUAGUUUGCCUAUCGAGCUAACAGGUUUGUAGAUGAUGCCAUCAACAUGGGUCUGCAUGUCAUCCUUGAACAUCUCGACAGUGAGGGAACCUAUUUAAGGAUCCUGUUCGUAAACUUCAGCUCCGCGUUUAACACCAUCAUUCCUGAACUCCUCUCUUCCAAACUUCUCCAGCUGAGCGUCUUGCCUGCGAUUUCCCAGUGGAUCCUGAUGGCCAAUACAAAGCAGGUGAGGCUGGGGAACAGCACCUCAUCCACAUCAACUAUAAGCACCGGGGUACCCCAAGGUUGUGUCCUCUACCCGCUUCUGAUGAAAUGACUGCGCCUCGAGGCACCCGACUGUCAAACUCCUGAUGUUCACAGAUGACACCACUUUCAUCGGCCUCGUUGAGGAUGGCAACAAGUCUGCGCGACAGGAAAUGGUGAGAGUGAAGCUUUGGUGUGGCCAACUCAACCUGGAGUUGAACCCUCUAAAGGCUCUAGAGAUGCUCGUGGACUUCAGGAGGCAUCCUUCACCACAGCUGCCCCUGACGUGGUCCAACUGAUCACAGUCUGGUUUGGGGCUACCACAAUAAAGGACCAACUUCGACUGAAAUGGACAAUCAAAACCGCUGAACGGAUUGUUGGCACCAACCUACUCAACCUUGAAGACUUGCACGCUAUUCAAACUAGGUCCAGAGCAGACAGGAUCCUUUGGGACCUUACACGUCCUGGCUACCAACACUUCCAGCUCCUUUCGUCGGAGAGCAAGUGUUGGAUGGAGUUGUGUUUGUGUAUCACCAGUCUACUGCACUGCUCCGGGGCCCGGCAGGAAUCAGUUAGACGUGACACCACGUAAGUGAGCCCCCACCACGCCUCCUCUGAUGUUCUCCAGCUCAGCGUCUUGUCUGCCAUCUCCUGGUGGAUCUACUACUUCCUGACGGGCAGGACACAGCAGCAGCGGGGCACACCAAGCCUGUGUCCUCUCCCCUCUGCUUUCACCACGGUCAUCGCCUCAUCAAAGACGGCAAUGAGUCAUCUUAUCGACAGGAAGUGGCAAGACUGGAGCUUUGGUGUGGUCAACACAACCUGGUGUUGCACACUCUAAAUACUGUGAAGAUGAUUGUGGACUUCAGGAGUAUGCGUGUGUGUUCUCUCACCUGAUCCAUGGUGUUCAGAGAGACCUGGGGUGACUUCCAGUUCGUCGCAAAGCUUGUUAAAGUGGAAGAUGUGGUUUUAGCUAAAAGUGGGGAGGUCUUCACACAUGGAUAAACACACACAGACACACACACACAGCACAGCACACAUGCAUAGCAAAACACCUCAGGGUCAAAACAAAUGAGCUGUGCACAUCAACUCACAUCACCGAUUCUUUUCCUUGGCUAACAUUACCUCCUCCUCUCGCCCUUAUCGGAGGUGCUAUUUUGGUUUCUUCAAAUCAUAAUGGUAAAUAAUCAGUUCAAUUGUUAUGCAAAAGGAAUUCAUCUUAUUAUUUGUAUAUACCUUCCAUUCUCCCGUCUUCGCCAGAUAUCUAGCUGGUGGAAUCGUGGCCUCACACUGCUUUUCCUUUGCCUCUCGCUUUGUCAGUGCUGUCUCUUCUCAUUUAAAUCCCACAAGCUUUUUUUCUUUCUCCUGUGCUUUAGACGGCAUUAGCGACAGAAUGGGAUGAGGAGAAGGAUCAGGGGGAUCGAGUGCAUGUACCACGUGACAUGAUAGUAAAGUGGUAUUCCCAGCUGUCACACUCACGCAACCAGAUCUUAAUAAUUUUUUAGUUAAUUUAAUUUUAGUUUUAAAAAAGCAAAAAACACAACGACAUGUUUUUUUACUGGGUAACACUGACCCAUCAACAACAUGGAAAGUGUAGGAAGGGGAAGCUUGGACAUCGUGGCAGGAACGGGCAGCUGUACGAGAGCCAUGGAAGAAUCACUGGAGACAAACGCAAGGGUUGCAUGUGGUUGAGGUGGACUGCCAAGAUGGUACUGAUUGCUGGGGUGAGGAGACAGAAGGUUGGGGCCCAAAGCACCACCCGAGCUCCAAAUGGGGAUCUUGAGGGCACGGACUAUGACAAAUCCUGUGCUGCAACCUCUGCGCUGUACAGCUGGAAACUCCCACUAAACAACAACAGAAAUGGCUGGAUGCGUUCACUACACAGGCCCAUCUCAAGAAUAUACAUCCAUCCAUUUUCUUCGCCACUUAUCCUCACGAGAGUGGCGGGAGUGCUGGAGCCUAUCCCAGCUGUCAAUGGGCAGGAGGCAGGUUACACCCUGAACUGGUUGCCAGCCAAUCGCAGGGCACAUCGAGACAAACAGCCGCACUCACAAUAACACUUAGGGGCAAUUUAGAGUGUCCAAUUAUUGUUGCAUGUUUUUUGGUUGAGGGAGAAAACCGGAGUGCCCGGAGGAAACACGCGUAGGCACAGGGAGAACAUGCAAACUCCACAGAGGUGGGGCCGCGAUUGAACCCGUGACCUCAGAACUGUGAGGCCAAUGCUUUCCAGCUGAUUCACUGUUCCAACAUCUCAAUAUUAUAAAUGCAUUUACAUCAUUGAGAUGGGAGACUCUUCCUUUUUAUCGUAUCAAGAAAUGUGUUGGAUUUGUACUUUAAGAUUGUCUGAAAGGCAUCCCACAUUAUUGAGGUCAAGUCAGUGGAGCGAAUGUUGUGCAGAGAGAAAUGAUUGGAAAAUGAAUGGCGCCAUCCAGUGUACACUACAUAUAAUGUACGCUGUUGUCCUAUAUUAUUACAAAACAUACAUACAUCCAUUUUCUACACUAACGGUGGACAUAAGUCUACACUAUACAACCCCAGUUUGAAUGCCAAGUUUCUCCAAAAAUGAGACCAAGAUAAAUUAUUUAAAAACUUUUUCACCAAUAGUGUGACAUUUACCAACUUAACUGAAAAAAAAGAAAUGUUUUAGAGAGGGGAAAUAAAAAUAAACACACUAACUGGGUUUUACAGUUUCACAUUGGAGCAGAGUAGUGUAGAGUAGUGGGGGAUGGAGGGGCCAAAUAUUCCAUUCAAGUAAGAGUACUGAUAGUUUUGAAUAAUAUUGUUCAAGUAAAAGUAAAAAGUAGCCGUCCAAAUAAUUACUGUUAUAAGAGUAAGAAAGCAGCCAGUGGGGAAAAAAAGUAAAACUAAACUAAAUAAAAUAUGAAUGUGCAAAUUUGGAUAUUGCUGACCAGGUUAGUCAAAAACUAAUAAAAUCUUUGUAAAAUAAAGUCUUUGUAAAAUAAUACUUUUAGGCAAUUGGGCAAAUACUUUAGGCUCAUCAGGCUGAGACAAACACAGGACCAAAACUGUUGUGGAUAGAAAAAGUAUACACACCCCUGUUAUAAUACAAGGUAUUUGUGUUGUAAAAGAAUUUUAAAUCAUUUUGAAACUUCUCAUCUUUAAUUUGACCUACCUUUCCUUCUUCUUUCGGCUUGUCCCUUUCGGGGUUGCCACAGCGUGUCAUCUCAGAUGAACGCACAUAUGUUUAGCACAAUUUUUACGCCGGAUGCCCUUCCUGACGCAACCCUUCUCAGGGAGUGGGGGCCCCAGUGGGAUACGAACCCACAACCCCUGGUUUUCCAAACCAGUGCUGAUAAAUUUUAUUUUUGUAUAUUUUUGAGAGGGGAGAUGAAAUCAAAUAAAUAUGAAUGUGUUUGACUUGGACUCGAUGUUUAACUUGCUGCCUAGUUAGAUAAAUAACAUAAAAGAAAUCUGUAUCACAAUCCGAAAGCUAGUUUAUUUUUCCAUAGUAUGAUUUAAAUAGUCUGCAUUGUCUAUAUUUCCAAACAAAAUCAUAAAUCCAACUUCGCUGGCAUCCUUACAGCUCUCCCGGACCUGGUUCUGAGAGUAGGAGUAGAUGGUGGCUCUGGAAGGUUCUGCGGCGGCGGUUCCUUUGUCAGUUGAUCUGAACCGCUCCUCUGGGAAGUCUCCACCGGAAUGGGGCAAAUCUGCUUCGGCGAGGCUCUCAUGGGCGUCCGAUGACGACGGUUUCGUCUCAUGGUUCCGUGGAGUCCAUCCACUAGAUACGGACGUGGGGUAGCAUAAUCUGUUCCCAGACCCCCAAGAUUUCUCCAAGUUGCAUAAAGGGUUUGUCUGGUCACCUGCCGCCAAGUCAUCAAUUAAGUUGAGGCGAACAACAAUGUCAAAGUGCUCCUUCCGAAGCUCACGAAGGGUAAGGUGUGUAGUCGCGGUGAUUUUUAAACACCUCCUGAAGGGCCAUUUCGUAUACAUUUUUAUAAAGUUUGAAAUGACUUGCUAGUCCAUGGGCUGGAAGAGAGGGUUUGUGUUAGGUGUGAGGUACACACUCUAAUGAAGGAAAAUUCCUCCAGGAUAUCAUCUUCAAAGUUGUGCAAGUGGGCAGGGGCAUUGUCAAGAAUGAGGAGGUACUUGAGGGGAAGAUUGUUGUCUUCUAGGAACUUCUUCACAGCAGGGCCAAAAACUAAGAUCAUCCACUCAAAAAAAAAAAAAAAAAAAUGUCAGAUGACCCAGGCCUUAGUAUUGGCCCUUCACAUGACUGGAAGUUUCUCCUUUAGGAUUUUGUGACCUUUGAAUGCCCUGGGAUUUUUAGUCAGACACCAGCAGGGGCUUAGUUUUACAACUCCCACUGGCAUUGGCACAAAUAGCAAGUGUAAGCCAGUCCUUCAUUGGCUUAUGGCCUAGCAGUUUCUUCUCCUCCAUUGUUAUAAAUAUUCAACAAGGCAUCUUUUUCCAAAAUAGGUGAAGUAAGAAUAAUUUUAUUGUGUUGUUUUUCCAUAAUUAAAAGAUGUUUCGCAAUAGCUUUGUAUAACCUAAAAGACGAUCGCAAUAGCUUUGAAUAACCAGCAAUGUCAUAAAAGGAUGUUUGGAUAACCAGCAAUGUCAUAAAAAGAUGUUUUUGUGUUAUAUGAUGUCGUGCAACGCCAUUUGUUGGUAACAAAGAAUAGUGUGGCGUCAGGCGGGAUGAAUUGGCCACUCAACCCUCCUUCCACACACGCUUAGAGUAUAAAAGGAGAACUUUAGAUACUCUCGGUAGAGUCUGCUGCGGGUUGCGUACGGAUGCCCAGCCGGUAUUGAAGCUGCUCUCUACCUGGAGUGUUGGCUCUCCCUCCUAUUGGCGCACGGUAAGAGCUGGAUAUUCUUCUAAGAGCUGAUUGGAUAUUACUUAGCUUCAUACCACGUGAUUUGUGCUUGUGCUUGUGUUACCAUUUCUGUGUGGGACCAAUAAAGUGCCAAUUGUUGGUAGCCAGAAGUGUGUCUUGUCUUCAUUUCUGAGUGCCUAUCUCCGACGAACCUAUUAAAAUUUGAUACCGAACU
Syngnathoides biaculeatus (alligator pipefish) is the source of this 6386-nucleotide long non-coding RNA. RefSeq lists it as uncharacterized. NCBI's taxonomy places the organism in Eukaryota, Metazoa, Chordata, Actinopteri, Syngnathiformes, Syngnathidae. The transcript is spliced from 6 exons. The record is from RefSeq and is a predicted model, not a curated record.